UACGUAGGGGGCGAGCGUUGUCCGGAAUUACUGGGCGUAAAGAGCGCGUAGGCGGCUUGAUAAGUCAGGUGUGAAAACUUAAGGCUCAACCUUAAGAUGGCACUUGAAACUGUCAGGCUUGAGGUCAGGAGAGGAAAGCGGAAUUCCUAGUGUAGCAGUGAAAUGCGUAGAUAUUAGGAGGAACACCAGUGGCGAAGGCGGCUUUCUGGACUGAUUCUGACGCUGAGGUGCGAAAGCCAGGGGAGCAAACGGG
RNAcentral lists this ribosomal RNA (253 nucleotides) under uncultured bacterium. Its description in RNAcentral is "partial 16S ribosomal RNA". It matches the Rfam family "Bacterial small subunit ribosomal RNA", at positions 524 to 776 of the family's 1533-position model. The record is from RNAcentral.